Molecule: long non-coding RNA, 2348 nt
Organism: Gasterosteus aculeatus aculeatus (three-spined stickleback)
Lineage: Eukaryota; Metazoa; Chordata; Actinopteri; Perciformes; Gasterosteidae
Source: Ensembl
UUCCAUAUGUUGCCCCAAGAGGGAUGGAGGAAAGGGGGGGGGGGCACAGCGGCGGUCUUAAGGGGGCGGUUAGUUAGAGUGUUUAAUGUAGAAGCCCUGGUAACGAGUAGAGGAGUCUCUUUGUGGAGGUGAUGGUGGGAAACUUUGCUCCUUGAAUACCUGCAUACAUCGACAUCAAACCCCCCCCCCCCUGAAUCCACCAGCAAAUAGCUGCCCCCCAGGGGGGCAGACGCUUUGAUGAGGCAUCUAUGUCAAAGCGUCCGUCUACGAUCCGUCUUCGACCCGUCUGGAUGAAUAAUUUAGCAGGUUUUAUUUCCAGCCAUCUGCUCUUCUCUCUCUCCAUCAUCCUUCUCUUCACAUCUCCCUUCUGAAGUCACAACAUCUAGAACUCGUUGUUCUUCUUGUUAACGUGAGAAUAAAGAAGAGUGGUAGAUUAAGGGAACCCGAAAAGAAAUCCCUUUUGGGACCCGGCAAUUGUUGGGAAGGGCCAUUCAGAGCCCCUUUGAGGGCUUUUAGAGGCCCUUCGGAGGCUUUCAGAGGCCCUUCUAGAGGCUUUCAGAGGCCUUCGGAGGCCCUUCUAGAGGCUUUCAGAGGCCCUUUAGAGGCCCUUCUAGAGGCUUUCGGAAGCUCUUCGGAGGCCCUUCUAGAGGCUUUCAGAGGCCCUUUAGAGGCCCUUCUAGAGGCUUUCAGAGGCCCUCCGGAGGCCCUUCUAGAGGCUUUCAGAGGCCCUUUAGAGGCCCUUCUGGAGGCUUUCAGAGGCCCUUCUAGAGGCUUUCAGAAGCACUUCGGAGGCCCUUCUAGAGGCUUUCAGAGGCCCUUCGGAGGCCCUCAGAGAUCUGGAUCAGAUCGAUAGCGAGCAGAGGUCCGCCACGCGUUCACUGGCAUCACACGUGUGUCCCAACCAACCAUAAUAACAAUUAAUAAUUCACGGUUACAUGUGAGGAGACGACCACCGGGGGGGAGGUCCUCUUAAACAGUUAAUCAGUCAGUGAUCAAUAGGACACCAUUGUUAAUACAUCAGUUCCACGUGGCUUUAUUGGCCUAUUUAUUGGUUUUCUGGAAAUAGAAAAAAAUUAAAGCAUCAAAUUAAAAAACUACACAAACCAAAACAUAAAUGUUAAAAAUGAAAUAUAAAUAAUGAAUAAGGUAUUAACGUUAAAGCUGUAAAAAAGGAAAACCAAGCAGUAAAAGUAACAGCAUUCUGUACAAAUGUGGAUCUGUUUCUUCACCUCAGGAUGCUGCGACACUGUAGUACUACUCCGCUGUCGUACUUGUGCACUGUACUACAUUGUAGGACUUGUACAUUGUAGUACUUGUACACUGUAUUACUUGUACACUGUGGUACUUGUACACUGCAGUAGUACUACAUUGUAGUAGUACUACAUUUUAGUACUUGUACAUUGUAGUACUUGUACACUGUAGUAGUACUUGUACACUGUACUGUACUAUGCUUUGGUACUUGUACACUGCAGUAGUACUACAUUGUAGUACUUGUACACUGUAGUACUACUCCGCUGUGGUACUUGUGCACUGCUGUUGUACUACAUUGUAGUACAUGUACAUUGUAGUACUUGUACACUGUAGUAGUACUUGUACACUGUACUGUACUAUGCUUUGGUACUUGUACACUGCAGUAGUACUACAGUGUAGUACUUGUACACUGUAGUACUACUAUGCUGUGGUACUUGUACACUGCAGUAGUACUACAUUGUAGUACUUGUACGCUGUAGUAGUACUUGGACACUGUAGUACUACUGCACGGUAGUACUUGAGUUGACGUCAAUGGGAGAAUGUGCACUAAUGUUCUUUGAGUGAGAGACAAUUUUGAAUUACCUGCUAUAAAAACAGCCAAGCAUGAGUCCCUCAACACACACACACACACACACACACACACAGACACACACAGACACACGCACACACAGACACACAGACACACACACACACACACACACACACACACACACACACACACACACACACACACACACACACACGGCCCCUCCAAGACGUUCAUCAUCUCCAGCGACCUGCAGUGACCGGCUGCAUGUAUUAGUAAUCAGCCCCCGUCACAGAGGAAAGAAUUAACAAGGCGGCUCUUGUCGCCUCGGUAACAAAACGUGCACUUGUGCAGAGACACUAAAGCCUCCGGCUCUACAGAUCUUGUUUCCAGGGACCCGAUGAGAGGGAGGGGGGGGAGGGGGGGGCGUAAUGGCGUCCGAGCAAGGUGUGUGUGUGCAGGAUUAGAAUACAUCACAUAUUCUGUUAAACCAUCUGGUCAGAAAAACUGAAGCAGCCGUAAAGAAGAAUGAGACAAAACAGAACGAAAGGUGAACUACACAAACUGAAAU